CCGUGCUAGGCGGGGAGCUAGCGGUGCCCUGUACCCGCAAUCCGCUCCAGCGGGGCCGAAUUCCCGCCCGCGGCCCGAAGGGUCCGAGGCUGCCCCCGGUACGGGGCGUCGAUGGUCGGGUCCUGCGCGACGCCAACUUGUGAAACCCGUCAGGUCCGGAAGGAAGCAGCGGUAAGCAGGCGCUGGCGGGUGCCGCAGGGACGCCUGGCCGGAGCCGCCGGCCGGGAGAGCGCCCGAGUCCUUCGCUCGUCAACGGCGGGUGCACGG
This 267-nucleotide signal recognition particle RNA is filed under the name Actinomycetota bacterium. RNAcentral's name for it is "signal recognition particle sRNA large type". It matches the Rfam family "Bacterial large signal recognition particle RNA". From Rfam's summary of the family: The signal recognition particle (SRP) is a universally conserved ribonucleoprotein involved in the co-translational targeting of proteins to membranes. Archaeal SRP consists of a 7S RNA and homologues of the eukaryotic SRP19 and SRP54 proteins. In most bacteria, the SRP consists of a 4.5S RNA and the Ffh protein (a homologue of the eukaryotic SRP54 protein). The record is from RNAcentral. Lineage: Bacteria; Bacillati; Actinomycetota.